Pelodiscus sinensis (Chinese soft-shelled turtle) is the source of this 296-nucleotide non-coding RNA. Lineage: Eukaryota; Metazoa; Chordata; Testudines; Trionychidae. The record is from RefSeq and is a predicted model, not a curated record.
AGACACCCAGCAGCAAGUCGUCCUCAGGGCCUCGGAUCGGGCCCCUAGCUCUGCCCGAGGACCACUAUGAGCGCACCACGCCCGACGGCAGCAUUGGGGAGAUGGAGCACCCUGAGAACUAGACCCCUGAGCGGAGCAGGCUGUGAAUGGGGCUCUCAACCGAGAUCUCCGCCCCCUGCCUGACGUAGCCAUGACGGGGACCUGCACCCGGGAGUGCACGGAGUUCGGCCACUCCGACACCUGCUGGAUGCCUGGCCAGUCCUCCCCCAGCCGCCGGCCCAAGAAUGCCCUCAAAC